UUUUUUUUCCCGGGGGGGAAAAUAGCAUAUCAAUAAGCGGAGGAAAAGAAACCAACAGGGAUUGCCCUAGUAACGGCGAGUGAAGCGGCAACAGCUCAAAUUUGAAAUCUGGCCCCAGGCCCGAGUUGUAAUUUGUAGAGGAUGCUUCUGGUGCGGUGCCUUCCGAGUUCCCUGGAACGGGACGCCAAAGAGGGUGAGAGCCCCGUCCGGUCGUGCACUAAGCCUCUGUGAAGCUCCUUCGACGAGUCGAGUAGUUUGGGAAUGCUGCUCAAAAUGGGAGGUAUACGUCUUCUAAAGCUAAAUACCGGCCAGAGACCGAUAGCGCACAAGUAGAGUGAUCGAAAGAUGAAAAGCACUUUGAAAAGAGGGUUAAAUAGUACGUGAAAUUGCUGAAAGGGAAGCGCUUAUGACCAGACUUGGGCUCGGUGAAUCAUCCGGCGUUCUCGCCGGUGCACUUCGCCGGUCCAGGCCAGCAUCAGUUCGCUUCGGGGGAUAAAGGCGGCGGGAAUGUGGCUCCCUCGGGAGUGUUAUAGACCACCGUGCAAUACCCUGGAGCGGACUGAGGUACGCGUUCUGCAAGGAUGCUGGCGUAAUGGUCAUCAGUGACCCGUCUUGAAACACGGACCAAGGAGUCGUCUUCGUAUGCGAGUGUUCGGGUGUCAAACCCCUACGCGUAAUGAAAGUGAACGUAGGAGAGAGCUUCGGCGCAUCUCCGACCGAUCCUGAUGUUCUCGGAUGGAUUUGAGUAAGAGCAUACGGGGCCGGACCCGAAAGAAGGUGAACUAUGCCUGUAUAGGGUGAAGCCAGAGGAAACUCUGGUGGAGGCUCGCAGCGGUUCUGACGUGCAAAUCGAUCGUCAAAUAUGGGCAUGGGGGCGAAAGACUAAUCGAACCUU
This 895-nucleotide ribosomal RNA is filed under the name Stilbocrea macrostoma. Its description in RNAcentral is "partial large subunit ribosomal RNA". It matches the Rfam family "Eukaryotic large subunit ribosomal RNA", at positions 24 to 943 of the family's 3401-position model. The record is from RNAcentral. Lineage: Eukaryota; Fungi; Ascomycota; Sordariomycetes; Hypocreales; Bionectriaceae.